UACGUAGGGGGCUAGCGUUGUCCGGAUUUAUUGGGCGUAAAGAGCGUGUAGGCGGCCAGGUAGGUCUGCUGUGAAAACUCGAGGCUCAACCUCGAGACGUCGGCGGAAACCAUCUGGCUAGAGUCCGGAAGAGGAGAGUGGAAUUCCUGGUGUAGCGGUGAAAUGCGCAGAUAUCAGGAGGAACACCGGUGGCGAAGGCGGAUCUCUGGGCCUUACCUGACGCUGAGGCGCGAAAGCUAGGGGAGCGAACAGG
RNAcentral lists this ribosomal RNA (253 nucleotides) under uncultured bacterium. RNAcentral's name for it is "partial 16S ribosomal RNA". It matches the Rfam family "Bacterial small subunit ribosomal RNA", at positions 524 to 776 of the family's 1533-position model. The record is from RNAcentral.